GCGCAACACAAAUCUCCUCGGUCUAUCUCCAGACCAGUCCCGCGAAAAUCUUAGCACUCUCACUCUCUGGCAAAUCUGCUUCUAGGGUUCGGAGGCCACUAUCCUUAUCUGAUUUUGUUGGGUCGGGUUUCUUUUCAGAGUCCUAUACGGAAAUGAAGCCGAAGAGCGAGCAACUUCGCACUUCCAAGCUAAUUACCUACCUUCUAAUCGGACUCGUUGUGCUUCUUGGCUUGACUUGUUUGUACCAUGGAUCCUCCGUCGCUCCUGGACUCUCCUCCAGAUCCGAACGCUACUCUUUUAGCCAUGAGGGCACCGACCCGGUUAUUGGAGGCUUUUCCGAAACCCGUUAUCUUGAUGAUUUGUUCCAGGAGCAUAUACCGCAUAGCAUUCCUGUACAUUGCAUAUAUGUGUUGAUUCGAAAUAUUUAAUAAGCUUUUAAUAUUUUUCUUUAUGUUUUAGCUGGUUAAUUACUUAAUUACUAUAAUCUAAGCUUAAGUAAUAAUUUUUCUUGAAUUGUAUCAUAUGAAUUUUUCUUUUUUGAUGAAAAGAUUUUUGUUUAUUUUUGGUUUUUGGUGAUUGGUACUGCAGAUAUGUUUAUUUACUUGAAUUGUAUCAUAUGAAUUUUUCUUUUUUGAUGAAAAGAUUUUUGUUUAUUUUUGGUUUUUGGUGAUUGGUACUGCAGAUAUGUUUAUUUA
This 695-nucleotide unclassified non-coding RNA is filed under the name Hevea brasiliensis (rubber tree). The record is from RNAcentral. Lineage: Eukaryota; Viridiplantae; Streptophyta; Magnoliopsida; Malpighiales; Euphorbiaceae.